This 1330-nucleotide long non-coding RNA is filed under the name Lepidothrix coronata (blue-crowned manakin). RNAcentral describes it as "lncRNA (ENSLCOG00000003221.1)". Lineage: Eukaryota; Metazoa; Chordata; Aves; Passeriformes; Pipridae. The record is from RNAcentral.
UUUAAAUAUGUCUGUAUCUUUUUUGAUCAGUCUGAGCAAUUUGCAUGCUAUGCAGCAGUCAUCUUCUAUACUUUAAUAAAUAUCAAGGUUUUACAUUAAUGUCAAGAUAGUACAUCAAAAAUUCAUGGAAUAUGUGACUUUUUUCAAGGAUAUUUAAUACUUAAUGCAUUUGUGUCAUUUUUCUUUCUAGAUAUAUUGACAGGUUUUAUUAAGUGUUUGUUAGGGAGAUUUCUUUUUUACCAAGGGACUAUAAAGAGAAGCUGCAUACUAAAUCAAAUUUUUAAUCAGAAUAUUGUUCCUUUUUGUGUGUCUUCAGAUUCUUGUAAUCUAUAGGGUUUUUAAGUUACAUAGUAAAAUAGACCAAGUCAGAAAUCUAACAUGACCAAAUAUGCUGACAUAACUUUAAAAUAGCCACUAGAAUAUUGCACUAUGGAAUGCUAUAAAUAUGGUAAUUACAUACACUGGGAUUUUAUUCUGCCUUGUGUCUUUUUAAGACCAUAUAUUUUGUCCUUUAUUGUAAUUUACUAUUGGUUUUAUGUGGAUUACGUACAGAUGGUGUCCAUAUAGGGGCAGUACCUCAGUUCCUCAGGUUUACAAAUGGGGACGGUUACAGAGCAUUUUGUGGCAUCCGGGAUCUUUGAUGGCAUCCAGAAUCUUUGCCCGUGGGUUGGGUGCUCAAGUUGGACGUUACAGAGGGAUUGCCUGUGUCAAAUGAACAAUUGACCUCACUGCAGUCCACUGAUCUGAUUCACGUUUGUCACAGAGAGGACAAUGACAACAUGUGUAUAUCUUGCGUCCUGUGGUUGUUUGCUCCAAGUUUGGGUCGAAGCUGUUAGCUCGUGCUCCCGGUCCGGAGCUGGGCAUAGGGAAUGUCUGUAGCCGUCGCUUUUAGGCUGUUGAGCCCAGCGCAGUCUCUGUGAUGCCUUUUCACUUCUAGCGCAUUAUGACCAUAGUGAUUAUUGCCCUUGCAAAAACAACACGUUCUGCUAAUAGCCGCUGCUUGGUGGGUGGGAGGAGAGCAGAAGAGGGCAGAGCAGACAGACGGGGGUAUUUGUGUUCCCAGCGUCUUUCUCCUGCGAUGAAGCCGCCGGACCCCGCUCGGACGGGGGUUCGCUUGCUUACCCCGGAGACCCAUCCUAAUGCCAGCAAACUGCCCUUAAAGGAUUCUUUCACUUAUGACGACUACAGGUUGGUCUGUCUUUUAAUUCUUCUUUUUUUCUUUCUUUCUUUUCUUUUUUUAAUAUGGUGAACUGUGGGGCCUUGGAAAUUCUUCAUUGGUGGGAAAGCCCUAUUGUCACUGAAAUGUUAAGUGUAGGAUUUGAUACCGAUA